RNAcentral lists this non-coding RNA (29 nucleotides) under Mus musculus (house mouse). Lineage: Eukaryota; Metazoa; Chordata; Mammalia; Rodentia; Muridae. The record is from RNAcentral.
UGCACAAUGGUCUUACCUGCAACCUGGGG